CUUUGUACAUUCAUUUCUCUAUGAACACUUAGAUUGUUGCCAUAUCUUAACUAUUGUAAUUAAUGCUGUAGUGAACAAAGGGGUACAUAUAUAAUUCAAGUUUGUGUUUUCAUUUUCUUCAGAUAAA
Myotis brandtii (Brandt's bat) is the source of this 127-nucleotide long non-coding RNA. RefSeq lists it as uncharacterized. The transcript is spliced from 3 exons. The record is from RefSeq and is a predicted model, not a curated record. Lineage: Eukaryota; Metazoa; Chordata; Mammalia; Chiroptera; Vespertilionidae.